RNAcentral lists this ribosomal RNA (248 nucleotides) under uncultured Lachnospiraceae bacterium. RNAcentral describes it as "partial 16S ribosomal RNA". It matches the Rfam family "Bacterial small subunit ribosomal RNA", at positions 524 to 771 of the family's 1533-position model. The record is from RNAcentral. Lineage: Bacteria; Bacillati; Bacillota; Clostridia; Lachnospirales; Lachnospiraceae.
UACGUAGGGGGCAAGCGUUAUCCGGAUUUACUGGGUGUAAAGGGAGCGUAGACGGUGAUGCAAGUCUGAAGUGAAAGCCCAGGGCUCAACCCUGGGACUGCUUUGGAAACUGUGUGACUAGAGUGCAGGAGAGGUAAGCGGAAUUCCUAGUGUAGCGGUGAAAUGCGUAGAUAUUAGGAGGAACAUCAGUGGCGAAGGCGGCUUACUGGGCUUUAACUGACGCUGAGGCUCGAAAGCGUGGGGAGCAA